CUUCGGACUGGACACUUAGUGGCGGACGGGUGAGUAACGCGUGGGUAACCUGCCUCAUACAGGGGGAGUAGCAGUUGGAAACGACUGAUAAUACCGCAUAAGCGCACAGCAUCGCAUGAUGCAGUGUGAAAAACUCCGGUGGUAUGAGAUGGACCCGCGUCUGAUUAGCUUGUUGCGGGGUAACGGCCCACCAAGGCGACGAUCAGUAGCCGGCCUGAGAGGGUGAACGGCCACAUUGGGACUGAGACACGGCCCAAACUCCUACGGGAGGCAGUAGUGGGGAAUAUUGCACAAUGGGGGAAACCCUGAUGCAAGCGACGCCGCGUGAAGGAUGAAGUAUUUCGGUAUGUAAACUUCUAUCAGCAGGGAAGAUGAUGACGGUACCUGACUAAGAAGCCCCGGCUAACUACGUGCCAGCCGCCGC
This 424-nucleotide ribosomal RNA is filed under the name uncultured bacterium. Its description in RNAcentral is "bacterial SSU rRNA". It matches the Rfam family "Bacterial small subunit ribosomal RNA", at positions 78 to 518 of the family's 1533-position model. The record is from RNAcentral.